UACAGAGGGUGCUAGCGUUGUUCGGAAUUAUUGGGCGUAAAGCGCGUGUAGGCGGCCUUGCAAGUGGGGUGUGAAAGCCCUCGGCUUAACCGAGGAAGUGCGCCCCAAACUGCGAGGCUUGGGUACCGGAGAGGGUGGCGGAAUUCCCGGUGUAGAGGUGAAAUUCGUAGAUAUCGGGGGGAACACCAGUGGCGAAGGCGGCCACCUGGACGGCUACUGACGCUGAGACGCGAAAGCGUGGGGAGCAAACAGG
This 253-nucleotide ribosomal RNA is filed under the name uncultured bacterium. RNAcentral describes it as "partial 16S ribosomal RNA". It matches the Rfam family "Bacterial small subunit ribosomal RNA", at positions 524 to 776 of the family's 1533-position model. The record is from RNAcentral.